RNAcentral lists this ribosomal RNA (484 nucleotides) under uncultured bacterium. RNAcentral describes it as "partial 16S ribosomal RNA". It matches the Rfam family "Bacterial small subunit ribosomal RNA", at positions 30 to 507 of the family's 1533-position model. The record is from RNAcentral.
AUUGAACGCUGGCGGCAGGCCUAACACAUGCAAGUCGAGCGGAUGAAGGGAGCUUGCUCCUGGAUUCAGCGGCGGACGGGUGAGUAAUGCCUAGGAAUCUGCCUGGUAGUGGGGGAUAACGUCCGGAAACGGGCGCUAAUACCCCAUACGUCCUGAGGGAGAAAGUGGGGGAUCUUCGGACCUCACGCUAUCAGAUGAGCCUAGGUCGGAUUAGCUAGUUGGUGGGGUAAAGGCCUACCAAGGCGACGAUCCGUAACUGGUAUGAGAGGAUGAUCAGUCACACUGGAACUGAGACACGGUCCAGACUCCUAAGGGAGGCAGCAGUGGGGAAUAUUGGAACAUGGGCGAAAGCCUGAUCCAGGCAUGCCGCGUGUGUGAAGAAGGUCUUCGGAUUGUAAAGCACUUUAAGUUGGGAGGAAGGGCAGUAAGUUAAUACCUUGCUGUUUUGACGUUACCAAAAGAAUAAGCACCGGCUAACUUCGUG